RNAcentral lists this ribosomal RNA (1068 nucleotides) under Triticum aestivum (bread wheat). RNAcentral describes it as "partial small subunit ribosomal RNA". The record is from RNAcentral. Lineage: Eukaryota; Viridiplantae; Streptophyta; Magnoliopsida; Poales; Poaceae.
AUGAAUCUCCCCGUCGCCGUGAGUCGCUGGUGCUGCCUCGUCUUGCCCUGGAUUCGAAGCCGCCGCCUUCACGGACAUACAGCCACAACCUGGAUUUUCUCCACCGCUAUCUGCUUGAUUGCCGGGUCUCCCGCAGGACGCAAACUGCUGUCGAGCCGCCUGACCGGCAGCGGUCUCGAGCCCGGACUCGGGUCACCUGCUGUCAUCUUGGUCUCGUACAACUCAGCCUGUGAGUCGCCGUCCCGUCGGGCCUCUGCGGAGAGUCACCCUUGCUGGCCGCACCACAGGCCACCGGUGCCUUACUCCUCCUUCCUCGUCCUACACUUAGUCACCCACGGCCUUGUCCUGGCGGUUCUGUUACAAAAUUGCCCUCGCCUAAACCGGCCGGGCGUCGCUCCGUGGCGGACCCGCCUGCGCCGAGCCACCACCGUGGCCUCGCAGCUGUCGAGCCGCCCGCGAUCGAGCCGCGUCUCGAGCCGCUCCGUCACCAUGGUUCUGCUUGCCGCCGCCUUCAAGUUCCCGGCGACGUGCCUCCGCCUCGUGCCGUUCAAGCCGCUGUCCGAAUCACCCUGCGCCAAACUACCGCUGCCAUUGAUUCAGCCGUGGCUCCGGCCUAUUUUUUCGCCCAAGGCCUCUGCAAGUCUCUGUAAUGCCUCGGCGUCUGUCCGAGUCGCCGUCCUGCCUUGUUCUUCAUCCGAAUCGCCGUUGCACCUCGCCUCCUGGAGAUAUUGCUGUCGCGCACCAUGCCAUGUUUUGAGCCACCACGUCCAGGGCUGGCCCAGCCCUCCGUCUCUGCAGUUGGCUCCGCCUGCCCGGGCCGCCGGGUCUCCGCGACCAUCUCCACUCCCCCAGCGGUCGGCCUCGCCUGUGCCUGGCUGCCGUGUCUCCGCCUGUGCCUGUGCCUGGCUGCCGGGUCGCCUGUACCGCUGCUGCUGCAAGCCUCCCUUGACGGCGUUGUCUCUGCUGCCGAGGCCCGCGCCUCCACGGCCACCGGCUGGUGGUGCUUGCAUCCUACCGCUGUGGUUCCCGCCAGUGGCCAGUCGUCGGUGUUUGUUGCUGUGGGAGUAA